UGGCGGACGGGUGAGUAACGCGUAAAGAACUUGCCCUUUAGACUGGGAUAACAGAGGGAAACUUCUGAUAAUACUGGAUAAGUUAGUAUAUCGCAUGAUAUGCAAAUGAAAGCUACGGCACUAAAGGAGAGCUUUGCGUCCUAUUAGCUAGUUGGUAAGGUAAGAGCUUACCAAGGCGAUGAUAGGUAGCCGGCCUGAGAGGGUGGACGGCCACAAGGGGGACUGAGAUACGGCCCUUACUCCUACGGGAGGCAGCAGCU
This 260-nucleotide ribosomal RNA is filed under the name uncultured Leptotrichia sp. RNAcentral's name for it is "partial 16S ribosomal RNA". It matches the Rfam family "Bacterial small subunit ribosomal RNA", at positions 96 to 355 of the family's 1533-position model. Lineage: Bacteria; Fusobacteriati; Fusobacteriota; Fusobacteriia; Fusobacteriales; Leptotrichiaceae. The record is from RNAcentral.